Molecule: ribosomal RNA, 511 nt
Filed under: Candida tropicalis
Lineage: Eukaryota; Fungi; Ascomycota; Pichiomycetes; Serinales; Debaryomycetaceae
Description: partial large subunit ribosomal RNA
Rfam family: Eukaryotic large subunit ribosomal RNA
Source: RNAcentral
GGCUCUUUCAGAGUCCGAGUUGUAAUUUGAAGAAGGUAUCUUUGGGUCUGGCUCUUGUCUAUGUUUCUUGGAACAGAACGUCACAGAGGGUGAGAAUCCCGUGCGAUGAGAUGAUCCAGGCCUAUGUAAAGUUCCUUCGAAGAGUCGAGUUGUUUGGGAAUGCAGCUCUAAGUGGGUGGUAAAUUCCAUCUAAAGCUAAAUAUUGGCGAGAGACCGAUAGCGAACAAGUACAGUGAUGGAAAGAUGAAAAGAACUUUGAAAAGAGAGUGAAAAAGUACGUGAAAUUGUUGAAAGGGAAGGGCUUGAGAUCAGACUUGGUAUUUUGUAUGUUACUUCUUCGGGGGUGGCCUCUACAGUUUAUCGGGCCAGCAUCAGUUUGGGCGGUAGGAGAAUUGCGUUGGAAUGUGGCACGGCUUCGGUUGUGUGUUAUAGCCUUCGUCGAUACUGCCAGCCUAGACUGAGGACUGCGGUUUAUACCUAGGAUGUUGGCAUAAUGAUCUUAAGUCGCCCG